This is a small nucleolar RNA of Scomber scombrus (Atlantic mackerel), 345 nucleotides long. Lineage: Eukaryota; Metazoa; Chordata; Actinopteri; Scombriformes; Scombridae. The record is from RefSeq and is a predicted model, not a curated record.
GCCCACUGAUGAGAUAAUGGCAAGUUUUAUGAUCCAGUCAGACCAAGAGAUUAUGAGCUCUAGCCUUCUGUUAGGUGGGUAGUCUUGGUGGUGUGGUUGAGUUAUAUUACACUGCUGUAAGGGCCCACCCACAGUUAAGGUGUCAUCUUCAGCUACAACCUCUGUCCACCCCAAGAGCAAUGGGAUGGGACAAGUGGGAGAUGUCAAACAGUGUGCAGAUGUUUGUUUGUCUCUGUCUGUGUGUGCGUGUUGUGUAAAUGUAUAUGUAUCAGUUGGAUAGAUGGUAUAGUCUCUCUGUAGAUGGUUUGGCUGGUAUGAACUACAAUCUUUGGUAAUCUGAGGGCA